This 253-nucleotide ribosomal RNA is filed under the name uncultured bacterium. RNAcentral describes it as "partial 16S ribosomal RNA". It matches the Rfam family "Bacterial small subunit ribosomal RNA", at positions 524 to 776 of the family's 1533-position model. The record is from RNAcentral.
UACAGAGGUCUCAAGCGUUGUUCGGAUUCAUUGGGCGUAAAGGGUUCGUAGGCGGCGCGGUAAGUCGGGUGUGAAAUCUCGGGGCUUAACUCCGAAACUGCAUUCGAUACUGCCGUGCUUGAGGACUGGAGAGGAGACUGGAAUUUACGGUGUAGCGGUGAAAUGCGUAGAUAUCGUAAGGAAGACCAGUGGCGAAGGCGGGUCUCUGGACAGUUCCUGACGCUGAGGCACGAAGGCCAGGGGAGCAAACGGG